RNAcentral lists this ribosomal RNA (301 nucleotides) under uncultured bacterium. RNAcentral describes it as "partial 16S ribosomal RNA". It matches the Rfam family "Bacterial small subunit ribosomal RNA", at positions 509 to 807 of the family's 1533-position model. The record is from RNAcentral.
CAGCCGCCACGGGAAUACGAAGGGGGCUAGCGUUGUUCGGAAUUACUGGGCGUAAAGCGCACGUAGGCGGAUAUUUAAGUCAGGGGUGAAAUCCCAGAGCUCAACUCUGGAACUGCCUUUGAUACUGGGUAUCUUGAGUAUGGAAGAGGUUAGUGGAAUUGCGAGUGUAGAGGUGAAAUUCGUAGAUAUUCGCAGGAACACCAGUGGCGAAGGCGGCUAACUGGUCCAUAACUGACGCUGAGGUGCGAAAGCGUGGGGAGCAAACAGGAUUAGAUACCCGCGUAGUCCCUGUCUCUUAUAC